AGCACUUCUUGGCCUUUUGGCUAAGAUCAAGUGUAGCAUCUGUUCUUAUCAGUUUAAUAUCUGAUACGUCCUCUAUCCGUGGACUUGGCCCAAUGGAUAGGGCAUCCGUCUACCACAU
Molecule: small nuclear RNA, 118 nt
Filed under: Dasypus novemcinctus (nine-banded armadillo)
Lineage: Eukaryota; Metazoa; Chordata; Mammalia; Cingulata; Dasypodidae
Description: U2 spliceosomal RNA (ENSDNOG00000027374.1)
Rfam family: U2 spliceosomal RNA
About the family: U2 is a small nuclear RNA (snRNA) component of the spliceosome (involved in pre-mRNA splicing). Complementary binding between U2 snRNA (in an area lying towards the 5' end but 3' to hairpin I) and the branchpoint sequence (BPS) of the intron results the bulging out of an unpaired adenosine, on the BPS, which initiates a nucleophilic attack at the intronic 5' splice site, thus starting the first of two transesterification reactions that mediate splicing.
Source: RNAcentral